AACGCGAAGAACCUUACCUACCUUUGAAUCCACGGAAUCUUGCAGAGAUGUGAGAGUGCCUUCGGGAACCGUGAGACAGGUGCUGCAUGGCUGUCGUCAGCUCGUGUCGUGAGAUGUUGGGUUAAGUCCCGUAACGAGCGCAACCCUUAUCCUUAGUUACCAGCGAGUAAAGUCGGGGACUUUAAGGAGACUGCCGGUGAUAAACCGGAGGAAGGUGGGGAUGACGUCAAGUCCUCAUGGCCCUUACAGGUAGGGCUACACACGUGCUACAAUGGCCGGUACAAAGGGAAGCCAACCCGCGAGGGGGAGCUAACCUCAAAAAGCCGGUCGUAGUCCGGAUUGGAGUCUGCAACUCGACUCCAUGAAGUUGGAAUCGCUAGUAAUCGUGGAUCAGCACGCCACGGUGAAUACGUUCCCGGGCCUUGUA
RNAcentral lists this ribosomal RNA (427 nucleotides) under uncultured Gammaproteobacteria bacterium. Its description in RNAcentral is "bacterial SSU rRNA". It matches the Rfam family "Bacterial small subunit ribosomal RNA", at positions 958 to 1385 of the family's 1533-position model. Lineage: Bacteria; Pseudomonadati; Pseudomonadota; Gammaproteobacteria. The record is from RNAcentral.